Molecule: ribosomal RNA, 396 nt
Filed under: uncultured bacterium
Lineage: Bacteria
Description: bacterial SSU rRNA
Rfam family: Bacterial small subunit ribosomal RNA
Source: RNAcentral
AUUGAACGCUGGCGGCAUGCCUUACACAUGCAAGUCGAACGGCAGCGGGGACUUCGGUCCGCCGGCGAGUGGCGAACGGGUGAGUAAAGUAUCGGAACGUACCUUUCAGUGGGGGAUAACGUAGCGAAAGUUACGCAAUACCGCAUAUUCUGUGAGCAGGAAAGCAGGGGAUCGCAAGACCUUGCGCUGAUUGAGCGGCCGAUAUCAGAUUAGCUAGUUGGUGAGGUAAAGGCUCACCAAGGCGACGAUCUGUAGCGGGUCUGAGAGGAUGAUCCGCCACACUGGAACUGAGACACGGUCCAGACUCCUACGGGAGGCAGCAGUGGGGAAUUUUGGACAAUGGGGGCAACCCUGAUCCAGCCAUGCCGCGUGAGUGAAGAAGGCCUCGGUUGUAAG